AUAAGGUAUAGACUUCGUAAGCGUUUAUGAUUAACUUACCCGUGACAACUUCGUUCGGGUUCCUCGACAAACACUCUUACUUAAACUACCGACUUUGACUUGUCUGGGACAUCCUUUGGCGUCACCAUCCCAGCUGGACUUGACUUCACUACACGACAAAAUCGAGCUAGGUGACCUUCUCUUUCGCAAUUGAAACACGCUUUGGAUUACUGCGUACAGUUUAGACGGAUGUGUCCCUCCUGUCCGCAUUUGAAACAUACGACCGGUGGUCGUUCUUCUUCCUUUGAAACGGGUGCUGAUGCUGCUGUCUUUCCAUCAUUAUUGAACCUUCUCUUCUUGAAAUUUUUACUUCUAUUAUCUUAGCCAUGAUUACCACCGAAGUAGUUACAAUUCUUGGCAUGAUAAUUUCCCCCACGAUGGUUAUCAUUGUUCCGAUGGCCGUUGCCACCGGUACAAUUAUUAUCGUGUUGUUGGUUGUUGCCUUUUGGUUGUGCUGACUCAUUAUCGCGCUCCAAUAACUAAGCCUUAUUCACAACAUCUAAAUAUAAACAAAGUUUGUGAGAAAUGAGGUCUUGACGUAUAUCAGGUUUCAAACCUCGCAGAAACAUUCGCGUUAUUCGCUCCUCAUUAUCGACCAAAUGGGAUGCAAACCGGGAUAAUUCCGCAAACUUAGCCUCGUACUGCGAUACGGUCAUAUUGUUUUGCUCCAGCUUGAUAAAUUCCACCUCCUUUAUGUGACGAAUACUUUUAGUAAAGUACUUGUCGUUGAACAGCUCUUGGAACUUCUCCCAAGACAUCUUGAGUGCUUCAGCCUGGGUACGUUUUACAGAUUCCCACCAGUAAUCUGCCUCUUCACGCAACAUAAAGGUGGUAAAGGGAACCUUUUGCUCCUCGGAGCAUCCCAAAACAUCAAAUAUCUUGAUGAUCUGCUUUAACCACGUCUCCGCCUUAAGUGGUUCUGGCUUUCCCAAAAACUCCGGUGGUCCCAGCUCCUUGAACUGCUUUGCGGUGACCAACCGUGGGUUGUCAUUGUUUCCACCUGCAUUAUGAACAUGUGUCUCUCGUUUGGUGUUACAUGAAUUCUAAAAAUCUCCUAAACGUAUCGUUGUUCGUCAUUUGAUCAAUGUUGUUUACAGGAGGAUUAUCGCUUUCCUGUUGCACAUUAUUCUGGCUAUUGAUCAGCGGUGACUCAACGGUCUCAUGUGCUCCAUUGCUUACCUCAACAUUUUCAGAUGCCAUUUUCAAAUACUGCCACAAAACAAGGGUUAAUUAACAAAUCAUAUAUUAUCCCUAUACCCUGACCGACCAAUUAAAUACCAAAUAAACUUAGGUAGGUCGUACUAGCGAAGGAAUUCCCCGUCUCUCCCCUCCUAGUUUUUGUCUCACCUCUCAGCCAGGGAUCAUAUCCCUAAGAUUUGAUACUAACUGUGACGCCCCCAAAAUUGGUAUACAUUACCCAUCUUGAAUCGCUAAAUACAUGGUACAUAAAUCAAACACAACUUAAUUAUACAACUGUCGUGUAAAAUACGAUAAAACAGAAAUUGAGAGUUUAAACAAGAGUAUUGUCUUCUAGACAAUAUCCACUCUCAAUGGAGUCCUCAUAGACAGUAUACAAACUCAAAUUCAGUCCUCAUUACAUUUAUUAUCACACUAUUUAACAGAAUAGUGAGAACUACUAAUGCUAUCAUCUGGACUGUCAAUCUGAUCCCCGACUUGUCCCAGCUAUAUUCUCAUUUCCUGAAGAGAACAGUGAAGGAAAGGGUGAGCUCAACUAGCCCAGUAAGAAAUAUUAUGACUAAGAUAAUGCAAAAUAAAUUAUCAUUAGUUUUCAACAAUGUUAAACUGAUAAAAUACAAUAAACAUCAAGUUUAACUGUAGCGGAACAAGCAAUCCAUUAAAAGAGUCAAAUAGAGAAUAAAAUCUACUAUCUUUUAUGAUUUAAAAAAGUUUUUCAUCACUUUUAUCGCUGAGACUCAACUUAAUAAAUAAUUCACAUCAUCCCUGCACUACGGCCAAGGAUAUUCAUUAGUAUCACGACCACAAAUUAUCCAUGCACUACGGGCCAAGGAUAUUUGUGUAUUCAUCAAUGGUCAUGAUCAUGCCAACAACUGUCCAUNNNNNNNNNNNNNNNNNNNNNNNNNNNNNNNNNNNNNNNNNNNNNNNNNNNNNNNNNNNNNNNNNNNNNNNNNNNNNNNNNNNNNNNNNNNNNNNNNNNNCUCAAUCCGACAAUAAUUCUAUUGUGGGGUCCACCAAUGAUUGUGCCGUCGUACAAAUAUUCUCUGUUAAAACGAAUAUUCCCCGACCAAUCGAAUAUUAUAUAACAACUUGCAUACUUUGCAAAAUUUAUAAAUACUACCCACAAUUAUAACAUUAUCUCAAAUUCACACCAUAAUAUUCAAAAAAAUAUUUUAAAAAAUUUAAAUCUUUAUUCAUAAAAUUUGGGAUUUUACAAUCUCAUCUCCUUAACUCGAAAUUUACGUACGUACCUGGUAUGCCGAACAGAUGAGGAUACCUUGUUAGAUUCUAAUUCUUGAGGUAUAACCUUUGAGUGUUGAAUACGAUCCUUCUUAUCCAAGAUUUUAACAUAUAUUUCUUCAUACAUUAAAUCUUCUGCUAUCUCGUUCGGUUCUAAAUCAAUAGUGGUUUAGGUCGUCCACAUAUUUACGUAACAUCGGUACGUGAUAAACGUUAUGAACACGCAACAUAUUUGGCGGUAAAACGAGUCUAUAGGCCAUAGUUCCUACUUAAUCGAGAAUUUCAAAUAGGCCAAUUAAAUCGAGGGUUGACAUUUCCUCUAUUCAUCAAUUCUUGCUUCUAGAAUAACGCCCUCUUGAACCUUCUUUUUUCACAUUCAUCAGCUUCGGAUGUGUAGUUUGAGCUGCUUUAACUUUAUCAAUUAAAGUCGAUUCUAAUCGUAUAUUUGAUAUCACCACGUGGGUCCUUAGAGUCUUUAACUCUAUCUUCAUCAUUUGUAAAUUAUACGAAAUGGGUUUUUGUGUUAACAACAUCGCACUCGUAAACACAUACGAUCUUCUACUCAACGCGUCAGCUACCACGUUCGCUCUUCCACGAUGAUAUUGACUGGUAUAAUCGUAAUCUUCAACAGCUCGAGCCAACGUCUUUGGCGCAUUAUACGUUCGUUUUAGUUGAAGAAAUAUUUAAGGGUUUUAGAAAUAGGGUUUUGUACUGGGGUCAGUACAAAAUUCGAUUUCACGCUCUGGGGUAGGCCACGAAGUCUUCAAAAAUACGUCAAGAAAUUUAUUAACGAUAUAAAUAUCAUUCAAAACUGUGACCCUCAUCCAAGACUUGGAUAACACGUCACAUUGAUACCUAUCAACUUGCCACCGUUAUUCACGACGUCCCCUACGGAUAGUCUGGCUUCGGUGCAUUCCACACAAGGAAGUCAACAACGAAAGGAUCAGAGCUCUUUACUUAUGGCUUGAUAUAAUAGUGAUUGACUUUAGUGGUUUGGUUGCUUGAAUUCGCAUAACAGGUUGGUUAGGAAUAUAAAAGCUAACCACCUUACAAAAAGCAUGAUGAGUAGUUAACCAAUCGAUUCCAAAAAUCACAUCAAAGGCAAGUAUUUUCAAAGAGAUAAGAUUGAUAGGUAACGUGAAAGUGUCGAUUUGAAUCAAACAAGAUUUAUAAAUAAUGGAUGUAACGAAGGUUUCUCCUAACAGAGUUUUAACAGAUAAGUCAAAGUCUAAUUUCUCAAUAGCCAAGUUCAAACAUUGAACACAACUAGGUGAAAUACAAGAGUGGGUAGAACCGGUAUCAAAUAAGGUAUAGACUUCGUAAGCGUUUAUGAUUAACUUACCCGUGACAACUUCGUUCGGGUUCCUCGACAAACACUCUCACUUAAACUACCGGCUUUGACUUGUCUGGGACAUCCUUUGGCGUCACCAUCCCAGCUGGACUUGACUUCACUACACGACAAAAUCGAGCUAGGUGACCUUCUCUUUCGCAAUUGAAACACGCUUUGGAUUACUGCGUACAGUUUAGACGGAUGUGUCCCUCCUGUCCGCAUUUGAAACAUACGACCGGUGGUCGUUCUUCUUCCUUUGAAACGGGUGCUGAUGCUGCUGUCUUUCCA
RNAcentral lists this long non-coding RNA (4093 nucleotides) under Panax ginseng (ginseng). RNAcentral describes it as "long non-coding RNA (PGIN_LNC011444)". The record is from RNAcentral. Lineage: Eukaryota; Viridiplantae; Streptophyta; Magnoliopsida; Apiales; Araliaceae.